AAUGGGCGCAAGCCUGAUCCAGCCAUGCCGCGUGAGUGAUGAAGGCCCUAGGGUCGUAAAGCUCUUUCGCCUGUGAAGAUAAUGACGGUAGCAGGUAAAGAAACCCCGGCUAACUCCGUGCCAGCAGCCGCGGUAAUACGGAGGGGGUUAGCGUUGUUCGGAGUUACUGGGCGUAAAGCGCGCGUAGGCGGACUAUUAAGUCAGAGGUGAAAUCCCGGGGCUCAACCCCGGAACUGCCUUUGAUACUGGUAGUCUUGAGUUCGAGAGAGGUAAGUGGAAUUCCGAGUGUAGAGGUGAAAUUCGUAGAUAUUCGGAGGAACACCAGUGGCGAAGGCGGCUUACUGGCUCGAUACUGACGCUGAGGUGCGAAAGUGUGGGGAGCAAACAGGAUU
RNAcentral lists this ribosomal RNA (392 nucleotides) under uncultured Gammaproteobacteria bacterium. RNAcentral's name for it is "bacterial SSU rRNA". It matches the Rfam family "Bacterial small subunit ribosomal RNA", at positions 370 to 779 of the family's 1533-position model. Lineage: Bacteria; Pseudomonadati; Pseudomonadota; Gammaproteobacteria. The record is from RNAcentral.